This 76-nucleotide transfer RNA is filed under the name Helicobacter cinaedi. Its description in RNAcentral is "tRNA-Lys". It matches the Rfam family "tRNA". From Rfam's summary of the family: Transfer RNA (tRNA) molecules are approximately 80 nucleotides in length. Lineage: Bacteria; Pseudomonadati; Campylobacterota; Epsilonproteobacteria; Campylobacterales; Helicobacteraceae. RNAcentral also lists the same sequence under 1 other name. The record is from RNAcentral.
GGACGCGUAGCUCAGCUGGUAGAGCAACUGACUCUUAAUCAGUGGGUCCAGAGUUCGAUCCUCUGUGCGUCCACCA